This 481-nucleotide ribosomal RNA is filed under the name uncultured bacterium. RNAcentral describes it as "partial 16S ribosomal RNA". It matches the Rfam family "Bacterial small subunit ribosomal RNA", at positions 899 to 1397 of the family's 1533-position model. The record is from RNAcentral.
ACUCAAAUGAAUUGACGGGGACCCGCACAAGCAGCGGAGCGUGUGGUUUAAUUCGAUGCGACGCGAAGCACCUUACCUGGGUUCAAUUGUAAAUGCACCGGGGGUAAUGCCCCGUCUCCGCAAGGAGCGUUUAUGACGGUGCUGCAUGGCUGUCGUCAGCUCGUGCCGUGAGGUGUUGGGUUAAGUCCCCUAACGAGCGCAACCCCCGUGGACGGUUAUACCUCCGUUCAGACUGCCGCGCACAACGCGGAGGAAGGUGGGGAUGACGUCAAGUCAGCACGGCCCUUACGCCCAGGGCGACACACACGCUACAAUGGUUCGGACAAUGGGCAGCGACACGGCGACGUGAAGCGAAUCCCGCAAACCGAGCCUCAGUUCGGAUGGUAGGCUGCAACUCGCCUGCCUGAAGUCGGAGUUGCUAGUAACCGCAGGUCAGCACACUGCGGUGAAUACGUUCCCGGGUCUUGUACACACCGCCCGU